GAUGAACGCUGGCGGCGUGCCUAAUACAUGCAAGUCGAACGCUGAAGGAGGAUCUUGCUCUUCUGGAUGAGUUGCGAACGGGUGAGUAACGCGUAGGUAACCUGCCUCGUAGCGGGGGAUAACUAUUGGAAACGAUAGCUAAUACCGCAUGACAACAGUUAUUGCAUGAUAACUGUUUAAAAGGGGCAACUGCUCCACUACCAGAUGGACCUGCGUUGUAUUAUCUAGUUGGUGAGGUAACGGCUCACCAAGGCGACGAUACAUAGCCGACCUGAGAGGGGGAGCGGCCACACUGGGACGGAGACACGGCCCAGACGCCUACGGGAGGCAGCAGUAGGGAAUAUGCGGGAAUGGAGGGAAGAAUGACCGAGCAACGCCGCGUGAGUGAAGAAGGUUGUCGGAUCGGAAAGAUCUGUUGUAAGAGAAGAAAGAGUGUGAGAGUGGAAAGUGCAAAAUGUGACGGUAUCUAAACAGAAAGGGACGGCUAACUACGUG
This 495-nucleotide ribosomal RNA is filed under the name uncultured bacterium. RNAcentral's name for it is "partial 16S ribosomal RNA". It matches the Rfam family "Bacterial small subunit ribosomal RNA", at positions 28 to 507 of the family's 1533-position model. The record is from RNAcentral.